AGUUCAAAUUCCACUAUCUGUCAUGGCGUGAUUCAAACCUGAGUCCGCAGAACAUUAGCUGAGUUUCUAGUUUAAUAGUUAAGCAACAAUACCGCUAGGCCAUCAUCUCCCACUUAUUUGAGGGUCCAUGAUACAGGGAGUGUUGUACUAUUGGUGUGUAAUGUUGAGGAAUGAUGCUGUGACCUUUUACAAUGAGUUAGAUAAGGUUGGUUAAUAUGUCAUUGUUCAUAGAGUGUUACUAUUGGCCAAUCAGCAUCAAGUCCACCAUAAUUUAAGGAAUGACCAGACUAGGAUAUAAUUGCCACUGGAUGUCUAUAACAAUGGACAAUGGACAAUCUGUCACUAAACUGUGGUAACUGCCAAAAUCAGCAUGAGGCUAACAAAGUAAUUAAUAAUGAGGAACUAUUCCCCUUGCCUGCCCCUCUGGUGCCAGUAAUUUAAUCCAUAUUCUCAUUGCUUGGCUAAUUACUCUUUAACCAGCUGUGAACAGAAACUUGAGUCGCUGACAUAUUAAAUCAGACAAGCAGAGUGAAUGGUUGAAUCCCUGGUGAGUAUUCAGCGAAAUGCUUCGUAUACCAUCACAGUCGCAUGGAGGCGGAAGACCCGACUCUGCAACAUAGAUUCUGUGCAAGUGUAGUCAGGCAAUGUAGAUCAAAACAAUGUGUAAAGACACUUUUGUUUUAUGGACUGUGUGCUACAAAAUUGGAAAAGAUAUUACUUCAAACCAAGGAAACUGUGGAAGAAGAUGUUUGCAGUUUUAGUAAUAAGUUACUGGAGGGCAAGGAAAAGCGGGGAUAAAAAAAUCUUCAGAGGACAUGAGAUGUCGAAUCCUCAGUCAGUGACUGAAAGACUGCGUAUCGGUGCAUCUACAACCUCAAGUCAUCAGCAAAGAAUUGGAAGAAAGUCAUCAAGAGAAAAUCGAAAUAAAAUAAUUCAUUGACAUCUGUAGUUUGGACAGAUGCCAGAACUCUCUCACUAUUUUUCCUCUUCACCCCUUAAGCUUUUGUCUUGUCUUGUCUUGUCUCUGUGUGUCUAUUGCACGUUUAUGGAAAUUUUUUAAAGGGGUCGGAGUUUAAGAUAUAAAAUUAUAGAUCAACAAUUCAUGUCUGCUUCUUUACAUUGGUUAAAAGUUUGAUUGAAAUAAAUGGUGAUUUUCUUGUCAAUAAAAAA
Molecule: non-coding RNA, 1170 nt
Organism: Chiloscyllium plagiosum (whitespotted bambooshark)
Lineage: Eukaryota; Metazoa; Chordata; Chondrichthyes; Orectolobiformes; Hemiscylliidae
Source: RefSeq, a predicted model, not a curated record